AUUGGACAAUGGGUGGAAGCCUGAUCCAGCCAUCCCGCGUGAAGGAUGACGGUCCUAUGGAUUGUAAACUUCUUUUGUACAGGGAUAAACCUGCCCUCGUGAGGGCAGCUGAAGGUACUGUACGAAUAAGCACCGGAUAACUCCGUGCCAGCAGCCGCGGUAAUACGGAGGGUGCGAGCGUUAUCCGGAUUUAUUGGGUUUAAAGGGUCCGUAGGCGGGCCUGUAAGUCAGUGGUGAAAUCUCAUAGCUUAACUAUGAAACUGCCAUUGAUACUGCAGGCCUUGAGUACAUUUGAAGUCGCUGGAAUAAGGAGUGUGGCGGUGAACUGCAUCGAUAUUACUUAGAACACCGAUUGCUAAGGCAGGUCACUAAGAUUUAACUGACGCUGAUG
RNAcentral lists this ribosomal RNA (391 nucleotides) under uncultured bacterium. Its description in RNAcentral is "bacterial SSU rRNA". It matches the Rfam family "Bacterial small subunit ribosomal RNA", at positions 363 to 751 of the family's 1533-position model. The record is from RNAcentral.